RNAcentral lists this non-coding RNA (202 nucleotides) under Phycisphaerae bacterium. Lineage: Bacteria; Pseudomonadati; Planctomycetota; Phycisphaerae. The record is from RNAcentral.
AGGUCGAAAGUCAUACAAGGCUUUCGGUUAAAUGCAAGGGAACGCGGUGAAAAUCCGCGACGGUCGCGCCGCUGUGAGCGUCCGACACGGCCCGCAAGGGUUGUGAGUCCGUCAGACAUUAUCCCACUAUUUCUGUUUAGAAUGGGAAGGGGUCUGAUGGUAGGAUGCGAGUCAGAAAACCUGCCUGGAGUUGAAUAUAGUU